UAAAAACUCGAGGUGAACGUAUGUUUUAGUUGUUUACUUCACAAAUCUUCAUUCAUAUCGAGAUUAUUCUCACUAGAUAAUAAGCUUUCAAAUUGGUAAUUUUUCAACUUUAAUACUAAUUGACAGUGACUUGUUUUCCAUAGGAGUAGCUGUAGACGUUGUAAUAGACACAGAAUGGCAUCAGCGAAGUCAUUUGAAACAGUUGAUACUAGAGUGAUUGUCGAAGAGGCACUAAAAGAAUUAAAAAAUAACAACUUAAUAGAAGAUUUCCAAAAGUAUGAGGCCAAAAUAAUGGAUGUAUUGGAAGAGGCAGCAAAAACGGAAGAAACAAUUACGAAAGAAAUGUUUAAUAUGGUUGACAAAAUAUCAGCCGAGGAUGUUGAAAAGAAAAUGUCACCAAUAAUUGGUCAGGAUCGGGUAGACUUGAUCAAGAAAGCUUUCAGCAUUGAAACAUACCAAAUGAAAUUGGUCAAAAAGUCAAAUGGCCAGACGGUUGUACAGGUACGUCGAGGUGGAGCAGACUUCAGACCAGAAAUAAAUCUGGCAACAAUUCAAGAUGUUGAAAUUGCAGAUGUAUUACAGUGGGCGAGCAUAGCAGUUGAAAUAUUUAUGUUGGUCUUAAGCUGUGUGGAUAUUGCUGUUGAUUUA
Long non-coding RNA from Mytilus californianus (California mussel), 648 nucleotides. RefSeq lists it as uncharacterized. The record is from RefSeq and is a predicted model, not a curated record. NCBI's taxonomy places the organism in Eukaryota, Metazoa, Mollusca, Bivalvia, Mytilida, Mytilidae. The transcript has 3 exons.